AGAACGAACGCUGGCGGCAUGCCUAAUACAUGCAAGUCGAACGAACACUUCGGUGUUAGUGGCGCACGGGUGCGUAACGCGUGGGAAUCUGCCCUUGGGUUCGGAAUAACAGUUGGAAACGACUGCUAAUACCGGAUGAUGACGAAAGUCCAAAGAUUUAUCGCCCAGGGAUGAGCCCGCGUAGGAUUAGCUAGUUGGUGAGGUAAAGCUCACCAAGGCUACGAUCAGUAGCUGGUCUGAGAGGAUGACCAGCCACAUUGGGACUGAGACACGGCCCAAACUCCACGGGAGCAGCAGUGGGAUCUGCGCAA
RNAcentral lists this ribosomal RNA (311 nucleotides) under uncultured soil bacterium. Its description in RNAcentral is "bacterial SSU rRNA". It matches the Rfam family "Bacterial small subunit ribosomal RNA", at positions 26 to 371 of the family's 1533-position model. The record is from RNAcentral.